RNAcentral lists this transfer RNA (73 nucleotides) under Camelus bactrianus (Bactrian camel). It matches the Rfam family "tRNA". Rfam says of the family: Transfer RNA (tRNA) molecules are approximately 80 nucleotides in length. The record is from Rfam by way of RNAcentral. Lineage: Eukaryota; Metazoa; Chordata; Mammalia; Artiodactyla; Camelidae. RNAcentral also lists the same sequence under 3 other names.
GAGGGUAUAGCUCAAGUGGUAGAGUGUGCACUUAGCAUGUAUGAGGUCCUGGGUUCAAUCCCCAGUACCUCCU